This 74-nucleotide transfer RNA is filed under the name Petromyzon marinus (sea lamprey). RNAcentral describes it as "tRNA-Asn (GTT) (tRNA-Asn-GTT-25-1)". It matches the Rfam family "tRNA". From Rfam's summary of the family: Transfer RNA (tRNA) molecules are approximately 80 nucleotides in length. Their secondary structure includes four short double-helical elements and three loops (D, anti-codon, and T loops). The record is from RNAcentral. Lineage: Eukaryota; Metazoa; Chordata; Hyperoartia; Petromyzontiformes; Petromyzontidae.
GUCUCUGUGGCGCAAUUGGUUAGCGCGUUCGGCUGUUAACUGGAAAGUUGGUGGUUCAAGCCCACCCAGGGACG